Molecule: ribosomal RNA, 1306 nt
Filed under: uncultured bacterium
Lineage: Bacteria
Description: bacterial SSU rRNA
Rfam family: Bacterial small subunit ribosomal RNA
Source: RNAcentral
AACGUACGCUGGCGGCACGCCUAACACAUGCAAGUCGAACGAAGUAGCAAUACUUAGUGGCAGACGGGUGAGUAACAUGUAGGUAUCUGCCCUUUGGCCUGGAAUAACACGAGGAAACUUGUGCUAAUACCGGAUAAGUCUUUACGGAGAAAGCUUUAUGCACCAUUGGAUGAGCCUGCACUUGAUUAGUUUGUUGGUAGGGUAAUGGCCUACCAAGACUGUGAUCAAUAGCUGAUUUGAGAGGAUGAUCAGCCACAUUGGGACUGAGACACGGCCCAAACUCCUACGGGAGGCAGCAGUGGGGAAUCUUGCACAAUGGAGGAAACUCUGAUGCAGCGAUGCCGCGUGAGUGAAGAAGGCCUUUGGGUUGUAAAGCUCUUUCGUCGGGGAAGAAAAUGACUGUACCCGAAUAAGAAGGUCCGGCUAACUUCGUGCCAGCAGCCGCGGUAAUACGAAGGGACCUAGCGUAGUUCGGAAUUACUGGGCUUAAAGAGUUCGUAGGUGGUUGAAAAAGUUGGUGGUGAAAUCCCAGAGCUUAACUCUGGAACUGCCAUCAAAACUUUUCAGCUAGAGUUUGAUAGAGGAAAGCAGAAUUUCUAGUGUAGAGGUGAAAUUCGUAGAUAUUAGAAAGAAUACCAAUUGCGAAGGCAGCUUUCUGGAUCAUUACUGACACUGAGGAACGAAAGCAUGGGUAGCGAAGAGGAUUAGAUACCCUCGUAGUCCAUGCCGUAAACGAUGUGUGUUAGACGUUGGAAAUUUAUUUUCAGUGUCGCAGCGAAAGCGAUAAACACACCGCCUGGGGAGUACGACCGCAAGGUUAAAACUCAAAUGAAUUGACGGGGACCCGCACAAGUAGUGGAGCAUGUGGUUUAAUUCGAAGAUACGCGCAGAACCUUACCAACACUUGACAUGUUCGUCGCGACUCUAAGAGAUUAGAGUUUUCGGUUCGGCCGGACGAAACACAGGUGCUGCAUGGCUGUCGUCAGCUCGUGUCGUGAGAUGUUGGGUUAAGUCCCGCAACGAGCGCAACCCUCACUUUUAGUUGCCAUCAUUAAGUUGGGCACUCUGAAAGAACUGCCGGUGAUAAGCUGGAGGAAGGUGGGGAUGACGUCAAGUCCUCAUGGCCCUUACGUGUUGGGCUACACACGUGCUACAAUGGUAUCUACAACAGGAAGCAAGACUGCGAAGUUAAGCAAAUCCCUAAAAGAUACCUCAGUUCGGAUUGCACUCUGCAACUCGAGUGCAUGAAGCUGGAAUUACUAGUAAUCGUGGAUCAGCGUGCCACGGUGAAUGCGUUCCCGGGUCU